Girardinichthys multiradiatus is the source of this 1059-nucleotide long non-coding RNA. RefSeq lists it as uncharacterized. The transcript is spliced from 2 exons. NCBI's taxonomy places the organism in Eukaryota, Metazoa, Chordata, Actinopteri, Cyprinodontiformes, Goodeidae. The record is from RefSeq and is a predicted model, not a curated record.
CGAGCUGGCAGCUUCCUGUUUCACCGUCAUCUGAACCUUGGCAUAAGCGUUACCUGUUCCCCUUCCAAUGCAAGUACCUCCAUACUGAACUCCUCAUCAUCCCUCAACUCUCCCUGGUGGUUAGAUUACUCCAACAUAUUGGCGAUUUACCAGUUCCUGCACAUUUCCCAUUUGCCUUUGUUUGAGAAAAUAAAUCUUAUUCAUAAUCCUGUAACUACUUCUGAGUGUUUCAUCUGCAUGUGGGUCAGAACUAUCUCGAGCAUAAUGACAGGAGGCUGCAAUUCUGGUUUUCUCAUCUUUCUAUGAACACACUCCUAAACCUUGAGGAAGAUGUUUACAUAAGUUGAUAUCAUCAGUAGAUACAAAUAUUCUUUCAAAAGACUAAUCAAUUCAUGUGAAAUAAUUUCACCUUACAGUUAAAAUGUGAAAUGCCCAGGUUACUGAUUGUGCUCCUGUUUUCCUGAGAUUAAAGGCUGUAAACACAAGCCCUGUCAAAUUAGGGUGCAAUUUAUACACCUCUUGCAUGAAGGCAGCGGUAAUAACAUAAACCAAUCUCAGUGGAAAGCACUUAUGAAGAAAGAAGUUCCAUGAACUUGUAUUUGUCAGGGUUCACCGUGAAAUGUAAAAGUGGAGCUGAAAUACCAGAAUUUGUCAGUUUUUAACAAAAUAUGUUCAGUUGUUAUUACAUUACAAUUUCUUCAUGCAGGCAUUGAAACCUACUUUUUACUGUUUAUGUUUCAUAUAUUGAAUGAAAUGUCAACAACGGGACCACUGCGUAAAAAUUUAUGAAGUUAGAGGCAGAGGAGUAGGAGGAGGUGAGUAGACACUUUAGACAGAUCAACCAAAACAAAUAUUAUAUAUUGCAGAGUUCAGGUUUAUUAAAUAAAAUGUGAAAACCCUAUAGGAGGGGAGGGGGGAGAUUUCUCAGUUUAUUUCAGUUGCAGCACAAGAUUGAUUUUUUUUUUAAAUGACAAAAACAAACUGAAAAAAUUAAAUUUAUUCAAAUCAUUGGAACGAUUUCAGUGAGGUUUGUUAAAGCGCAAACUCUGAAUCCCUCAA